CUCAGAGAGCCAGUCAGGAGUGGGCGGGACCUAAGCGUCGGGGCGGGGCCUGGGCCGGGACAAGGACGGGUCUGAUAGGCUGCUCCCUCAAGAACCACGCCAGGAGUGGGCGGGGCCUGCGCUGUGUCUGCGCCCCAACACCGCCUUAGGCGGCUGGUGCUGAGGUUGGUACAGGAGACGGCCAGGAAUGGGGCGGGGCUAGGAGGUGCUUUGCGAUUUGAGGGCGUGGCCUGGGCCGGAGGGGCGAAGCUUGGCUGUGAUUGACGCCUAAGGAGGCCGCGCCUGAGACCUCGCCUGGAGCCCUGUUGACACCGGAGGCAAACCGCAACUGAAAACCUUGCCUGGGAAGGCCAAGGCCAAGGGCGAGCCUGUCUGUGAUUGGCAGCUGAAGUCCAGGCCUGGAACUAAGGGGGCGGAGUCUGGGGGUUAGAGAGGGGCCGAGCCACGGUCGUCGCCUGGGGGCUGGGCGUGGCCUCGCGCGGGUGGGUGUGGCCUGGAGCGGGUUCGGACUGACGCGGACGCCUGAGGCGCAGCUACUAAAUAAAGCUCCUGCUCUGCCAGACGCGCCGGCCAGUGGGACCCAGGACUCCCGGCGCAAGUGCUGGCUGGCAGCCCGUCCUGGCCUGCUUCCGCGGUUGCCUGAGUUCCUCCAAUUAGAGUUUAUUGGGCGCCUGCGGAGCACAGCUCCUCAUUAAAAACCCGAAAACAAGGGUGCAGCUCGUUACAGCGCUCGCCCUUAAUUGGGAUGGAUACCGGGGAGACCGAGCACGAGAGGAUUGAGGGGCCCUGGCGUCUGUAACUAUAAAACAUGAGUCACGCGAGCAGGCCGAACGCACGGUGAAAGGUUUCAUUACCAAGAAAAAUACACUACGGAAUUCUCUUUCAAGUGGUAACUGCUGUGGUCGUAAAAAUGCGGUUUUUAAAAAAUUUAAAAAUCAUAAUGAGCCAUUAAGGAGUGAACACUUCCUGGACACUAACUGAAGCCUUCUGUUAUAUGCUUUUCUUUGAGGAGGCUACAUAGCAGAGAUUAGAAUUACUGUACCGCUGAAACUGGCCUGGAACUUCUCAUCCUCCUGCCUCAGCGGCUGGGAUUAUACACAUGUCAUCAGGCCACAUACUUAACAUUGCCACGUUAAGUAGCAUAAGGCAAGUAAUUAGAAAGCAGAGAAUUGACAAUGGGAGAUUGUUCACCCGCAUGAACACUCUGCACAGCCGUCUAUUGGAAUAACAGACACUCCUUGUGAACGGUGAAGGAUGUUGAGAAACAUCCAGUCUAGAGAGGAAGUUGGAAUGCACUGAGCAAUGACUAAUGAAUGGGAAAUAUGAGAUGGACUCAUUUUCUCUCAAGUUCAUAAUCGGUGAGGCAAGAAAAUCUUUUGGUAGUUGUGGUUUUACUUAGCUGCUUGGACCAAAUGGUAGCCUGUUCUGUUUCAAGCUUUCUUCACUGAGAACCCUUAAGAGUGGCAUUUUCCAAAAUGGCAAGUGCACCUUGUCAACUUUGCCAACAAGGGAGAUUGUUGCACUUUCACUUGUCUCCUGGGGGCUGAGACUGAAGCAGAUUCGUGUGUGUGUGUGUGUGUGUGUGUGUGUGUGUGUAUGUAUGUAUGUGUAAUUUUUUGUUUUUCCAGCCAGGGUUUCUCUGUGAAACAGAGCUGUCCUGGACUCAUUUUGUAGACCAGGCUGGCCUUGAACUCUGAGAAAUCCGACUGACUGCUCUGCCUCCUGAAUGCUGGGAUUAAAGGCGCGUGCCACGUGUGGCUCCUUUAAGUGCUGAGACGUCUCACUGGCCCGAGUUUUCACUUUGGAUUUUAUUUUGCAUACAGAAUCAAGUCUAGCAAAAGAAAAUAUGUUAGGAUUCUUAGAGUACAUCUUUCUAAGAGAGCACAUUCCUUCUAGUUUUUACUUACACAGUAUGCAUAUUUCUGUAGCUGUGCAUAAAUAGACUGAUAUGUCUACUAAGAGAUGGAACCCCAGUGUCUGCUCAUGGGAUUUGUGGAUUGGGUAUAUCACAUGUCAGUGUUCCAACUGGUGCCAAGACUGCAAAUGGUCAGGCCUGGCUACCUGGGGGACACCUGACCUCUAGUACGGCCCUGUUAUGUGCAGGCUAAACGUAAAAGGAGAGGUCUCUGGGGCCUUCUGCUUUCAGAGUCUGCUCACUUUGGGAACAUUCAGCUCCUGAUAUGUCCCUGGUGCCUCUCAGUACCUCUUCUCUGUUCCUGAUCACCUCUCCCGUGGAUGUCGUACCCUGCACCUGUAGCUCUUCAUCCAAGAUGUAAGACCGCCCUGCCAGCUUGGUUUUUUUCUUCUUGUAGGUUUCACUGUUUCUUUUGUAAAGUUGACACAGCUAGAGGUUUUAGGGAAGGGGACUGUCAGUUGAAAAAAUGCCUCCAAGAAAUUGUUUGUGGUCAGCCUGUUGAUGUAAUGAGCCUGUAAGACAGCAGAGCUGUCAGGAGCAUAGUUAAGAGACAUUUUUUUUGUGACAGUGACUGGGCAACGCCCCUAAGACAUUGAGAGCUUGUAAGACAGCAGAGCUGUCAAGGAUAGAUAAGAUAUUCGUAGUAAUAGUAACUAAGAACGCUCUUAAGGCAGCUGAGUGUGUGCGUGCAUGUGAAAGAAUGCUAAGUUAAAGCUAUGCCCUGAAAAAUGUAUAAAAACUGGAGCCAGAGCCCACUCAGGUGCAGCAGGCCAGACUCUGGUGAGUACGCCGAGAGACCGCCACUAACCAGCCAAUUCCCAAACGGGUGUUUGAAAAGCCCAGACCACCUUAACAAACCGGUUUUGAGAGGACCACCUUAUCAGACCCGUCAUGGAAGGUGGCUCCCGAGAAACCGCAGCUUCCUUCGCAUCUGAGGCCUGGCCGGAGCAGAGAAGCUCCAAGGCCUGUCAAUUUAUCAGAAGACGUGUCUGAGGUCCAGGACCUAGAAGACACCUGAAGCUGGAGACAAAGUGUCCGAGCCUGUACCUGUGGCCAGGUUGUAUUCCCCAUAAGAUGUAUAAUGUGCUUUGCAACUCUUAGAUAUCUGCGUGAUUAGUGUGAUUAAAGCAGCAUUCAAAAAUCA
Molecule: long non-coding RNA, 3059 nt
Organism: Meriones unguiculatus (Mongolian gerbil)
Lineage: Eukaryota; Metazoa; Chordata; Mammalia; Rodentia; Muridae
Exons: 3
Source: RefSeq, a predicted model, not a curated record